This 253-nucleotide ribosomal RNA is filed under the name Salmonella enterica. RNAcentral describes it as "partial 16S ribosomal RNA". It matches the Rfam family "Bacterial small subunit ribosomal RNA", at positions 1 to 250 of the family's 1533-position model. Lineage: Bacteria; Pseudomonadati; Pseudomonadota; Gammaproteobacteria; Enterobacterales; Enterobacteriaceae. The record is from RNAcentral.
AAAUUGAAGAGUUUGAUCAUGGCUCAGAUUGAACGCUGGCGGCAGGCCUAACACAUGCAAGUCGAACGGUAACAGGAAGCAGUUUGCUGCUUCGCUGACGAGUGGCGGACGGGUGAGUAAUGUCUGGGAAACUGCCUGAUGGAGGGGGAUAACUACUGGAAACGGUGGCUAAUACCGCAUAACGUCGCAAGACCAAAGAGGGGGACCUUCGGGCCUCUUGCCAUCAGAUGUGCCCAGAUGGGAUUAGCUUGUU